UACGUAGGGAGCAAGCGUUGUCCGGAAUCAUUGGGCGUAAAGCGCGCGUAGGUGGCCUCAUAAGUCCGUUGUGAAAGUCAAAGGCUCAACCUUUGAAAGCCGAUGGAUACUGUGAGACUAGAGUACGGAAGAGGCGAGUGGAAUUCCUGGUGUAGCGGUGGAAUGCGCAGAUAUCAGGAGGAACACCAAUAGCGAAGGCAGCCCCCUGGGCUAACACUGACGCUGAGGCACGAAAGCGUGGGGAGCAAACAGG
Molecule: ribosomal RNA, 253 nt
Filed under: uncultured bacterium
Lineage: Bacteria
Description: partial 16S ribosomal RNA
Rfam family: Bacterial small subunit ribosomal RNA
Source: RNAcentral